GAUCUACACACAGUGAUUUUUCAGCCCAGAAGCCUGAGUGCCCUGAGCCUGAUCUGGGCCACCCACAUGGUUGUUUUUUUUAUCCCUCAUACAGUCUUCCCAGUCGGUGGAGGGUUCAACUGGGUAAUUUGAUUGGUGGGUGGGCUGGGGCGGUGAGAGAACAAGACGCAGAAAAUAAUAGCGUGACCCUAGAAAAAGCGAGCAAGAGAGCUAGUUGCCAGUGCCCUCCCUCUGCGCACCAGAUGCUUGGUUCUACGUGUCACCUUCCCCUCUAGGCGCUGCAAGGGAGGUAACUUGGAUUCACCCAGGUGCCGGAGGGCUGGAACCAGGUGCCACUGGCCCUUGGGCUGCUGCGAGUCAAACUGUCCCCUCCCCCCUCGCUGGCAAAUGCCCCUGUCCAGGUUGCUGCGACUUUAAUGCGAAACCGAAAGCGAAAGGCACCGAAUCCACUGGAAUUAAAUUUCCCCAAACUCUUCUGCGGACUUUUCCAGGCGCCUGGGGCGGAUCCGCCGAGCCGGGACUUUGCGCCCUCACUCACAUGCCCCCCUUUCUGCUGCCUUUCGGGGCUGAAACGUCCCCAGCCUGAUACCCUAAUGAAGCUGCCUACGUCCCGGCCCCAGCCGCCGCCGCCGGGGAUCUGACCCUGCGCCCCCGUCCUGGAGAGGCUGGCGCCCUUCCCUAGCUCUUCCCAUGCCAUGGCCCGGCUGCUGCUCUUGUUGUGCGGCAGCGUCGGGCUCCUGUCCGCCUGCACCAGCGCGGCCGCGCUGCAAGAAAGAUGCAGCACACCAAAGGAGGUCAACAAUGCAGAUGUUACGGUCGGCAAUAAUAAUCUGUUGAAUGCCAGCCUCCGGUACACAUGCAAAGAUGGUUACAAAAGGAAAGCUGGGACAUCCAGUCUCAUUGUGUGUGUAAUGGACAAAGUCACCAAAACACUCCGUUGGACCGAGCCAAAUCUACAUUGUAUUAGGGACCCUGCUCUACCUCCUGUAACUUCCAGCCCCAAACAGACAACAUCAGCACCUAGGACAGAGGCGACUAGUCUUGUCAGCAAAGUUUCCGCCCGAGUUAUGCUCUCUUCUGUGGGGUUUCCCAUGUUGCUGACCGUUGUAGCUGUUGUAUUAUGUUGUGUCUGGAGACGGCGAGUCCACAUGAGGCGACAAUACACAAUACCUGUGAUAGCCAUUCCCAUGACCACAGAAGAGUCAGAAGAAAGGGAUGGAACACCACCAGAAGACAAUGGUUCAAACGGUCCAGAACAACGAAGUGAAAGGACAGAGAUGAUGUCAUCAUCUUGUGUGACAUCGACUGGUUGA
This 1313-nucleotide long non-coding RNA is filed under the name Chrysemys picta bellii (western painted turtle). RNAcentral describes it as "lncRNA (ENSCPBG00000017501.1)". Lineage: Eukaryota; Metazoa; Chordata; Testudines; Emydidae. The record is from RNAcentral.